GUAGCCCUGCUGUGUGCGUGAUUGCCGUCCUUGCGUUUUGAGCCAACACCUACCGAAACGGGGGCUGUCUCUUCAGAGAGGAAUGCGAUAGCCUACGGGCAAGGCAGACCGCUGAGCAGGCCCCCACCUGCGAAAGCAGGUUCAAAACACAUCGGCACACGGCACGGCGGGGUUCGG
RNAcentral lists this non-coding RNA (177 nucleotides) under Anaerolineae bacterium. RNAcentral describes it as "6S RNA". It matches the Rfam family "6S / SsrS RNA". From Rfam's summary of the family: E. coli 6S RNA was the first non coding RNA to be sequenced, but its function was unknown until recently. It consists of 184 nucleotides that fold into an extended hairpin structure with a large single-stranded internal bulge. The record is from RNAcentral. Lineage: Bacteria; Bacillati; Chloroflexota; Anaerolineae.